Molecule: long non-coding RNA, 1056 nt
Filed under: Heterocephalus glaber (naked mole-rat)
Lineage: Eukaryota; Metazoa; Chordata; Mammalia; Rodentia; Bathyergidae
Description: lncRNA (ENSHGLG00100043267.1)
Source: RNAcentral
AGAGACUCAUAACAAGAAAACUCUGCAUGUUGGGCACAGACGCGAGUUGUAUCUUCCAUCUGCACUUGUUUGUAGCUGGGGAUGCAGAGCCCUGGGUGCAGAGGGCCAGCCGCACCGCCACGCACCAACUGGUGUCUCCAGGGGGUUGCACCAAUCGAUACUGCCACAAGCUGUGCAUGACAAGCAGCUCUGAGCCACCACCCCAUCAUCGGCAAGAGGAGCACAGUGGGGGCCUGGGUUCCAUCCCAGCAUCCAUCCCAGCACCGUGAAGGAAUGGGAACAGUUACAGCCCUGGGUGAGGCUGCACUGGGCCAUGAGCGUCAGUCCCUUCUGCGUUCCUGUCACAAUCUACCCUCGGCACAGAUGCAGAUGCGUUAGUAAGAAAGGAGCCUACCUGACUCACCGUUCUGGAGGCUGGGAGUCCAAGCAGGAUGGCAAAACUGGGAUCGAACUCGGGACCUUGUGCUUGUGAGGCACGUGGCAGAACCACUGAGCUACAUCCCGGCCCUGAUGUGGAGCUGAAGAUACAGCUGGCUGGAGCAUCCUGCAGAGGCCCUUGGUUCAGAAGCACUGGAGGAAGAAGAGCCGAAGGCCGUAAUGAAGAGGAGAAUCGGCCUCGAUAGGACACCGGCCCUUUCAGUGGUGAUGCCCGUCAGGGUGGACCCUGGCCGCCUGGCUCCAAGGCCAUCCGAGGUUUCCACUUCCUCCUCCAUGACACCUGGGCUCUCCAGAGCCUCCACGCUGGACCUGGACCACCCCUGGGUGGCUUCACAGCUGGCCGGGCUGGCUCAGGGGAGCAGGUGGCAAGGCCCCUGCCUCUGGGAUCCCAUGCCAGAUGUGGGCCAGAUGGCGGCCAGGCUGUGGACAGGGCCCUCCAUGGAGUGGCCUGCAGCUCUACCAGCCCAUGGGUCCAUCCUCCUUGUACCAGGCAUGUGCAGUGAGGUCCCCACUCUGGCCCAGUCAUGGCAGCCACAGCAGUUUGGGCCGAGAGCCCUGGGGAGGGGAUCCCUGGCUUUGCUGCUGUGGCCCACAUCUCACCUGCAGCUGAUGCCCUCG